Molecule: ribosomal RNA, 602 nt
Filed under: uncultured bacterium
Lineage: Bacteria
Description: bacterial SSU rRNA
Rfam family: Bacterial small subunit ribosomal RNA
Source: RNAcentral
AGUCGAACGGCAGCGAGAAGAAAGCUUGCUUUCUUUGUCGGCGAGUGGCGAAAGGGUGAGUAAUGUAUCGGAACGUACCCAGUAGCGGGGGAUAACUACGCGAAAGCGUGGCUAAUACCGCAUACGCCCUACGGGGGAAAGGGGGGGAUCGCAAGACCUCUCACUAUUGGAGCGGCCGAUAUCGGAUUAGCUAGUUGGUGGGGUAAAGGCCCACCAAGGCAACGAUCCGUAGCUGGUUUGAGAGGACGACCAGCCACACUGGGACUGAGACACGGCCCAGACUCCUACGGGAGGCAGCAGUGGGGAAUUUUGGACAAUGGGGGCAACCCUGAUCCAGCCAUCCCGCGUGUGCGAUGAAGGCCUUCGGGUUGUAAAGCACUUUUGGCAGGGAAGAAACGACGCCGGAUAAUACCUGGUGUUAAUGACGGUACCUGCAGAAUAAGCACCGGCUAACUACGUGCCAGCAGCCGCGGUAAUACGUAGGGUGCAAGCGUUAAUCGGAAUUACUGGGCGUAAAGCGUGCGCAGGCGGUUCGGAAAGAAAGAUGUGAAAUCCCAGAGCUUAACUUUGGAAUGGCAUUUUUAACUACCGGGCUAGAGUAU